Molecule: long non-coding RNA, 385 nt
Filed under: Bos mutus (wild yak)
Lineage: Eukaryota; Metazoa; Chordata; Mammalia; Artiodactyla; Bovidae
Description: lncRNA (ENSBMUG00000001251.1)
Source: RNAcentral
AGAAACGGGCCCCUGCUUCCUUCUGCGUCAGGCCCAGGACCCCACAGUCUCUUGAAGGUGCUACAUGGACCAGCGGCUCCUGGGUGGACACUGCAGCAGGCCACAGCGCAUUGCUAACUGCUGUGAAACCAAGCAACAAGUCACUCCCCAGGAACAAAGGUGACGGCCACCAGGCCGCGGAGCCUUGACCUCAUCUCAUUUCCUACGUGCCGUCCACCCCAUAAUCACUGUGCCUCCAGGGAGCGUGCCCGCCAAGCAGCGCGUGCUGUCGGCCUCCUGUUUACAGAGCCUUUCUGGCGUCAGAUUGCUGUAAACACGAAGAACAUAUAUUUGCAACCUUCUGUUAAAAGACUUUCACAUCCCUGAAACAGGAAUCAAGAUGCCU